GCCUGGGUGGCUCAGUCGGUUGAGCGUCUGACUUUGGCUCAGGUCAUGAUCUCGCGGUUUGUGAGUUCAAGCCUCGUGUCGGGCU
This 85-nucleotide transfer RNA is filed under the name Felis catus (domestic cat). It matches the Rfam family "tRNA". From Rfam's summary of the family: Transfer RNA (tRNA) molecules are approximately 80 nucleotides in length. Their secondary structure includes four short double-helical elements and three loops (D, anti-codon, and T loops). Lineage: Eukaryota; Metazoa; Chordata; Mammalia; Carnivora; Felidae. The record is from Rfam by way of RNAcentral.